UGGUGGUUUGUGCUGUUAGUGGUUAUGUUAUGCCGUUUUAAUUUGUUUGAUUUUCCGGUGUUUGCAGUCAGAAAAUGUUAUAUUGUUUAUGGUGAUUGAAUUCUAUAAAUUAUUCAGGAUUUUUAUGUCCAUUUCACCGAAAGAUUUUCUUGGAGGUCUCAACUGAUUUAGUAUAACAUGGGAAAGGCAAAGCGGGAAACAAACGAUUCGCCGUGCAAGGUCACACACCUCCAGGGAAUUUUGUCUACUUGGAAACAUUGAGAGGUAGUCCUUGGAAAAUGAAUGAACAUAGAAAUACAGUGAAAUACCUUCAGUCAGUCAAGUUUACAGAAUUACCACUGGAUGACGGAGAAUCAAGCAGAUUGGAAGACCAACACCAGACCUAAAGAUUGAGUCACCUGGAAUAAGUAGAGAGAGAACAUGCACAUGUACCUUCGGCAAUACAAUUUACAAAAAAACACAUCUGGAUCUGUGGUUGUGAAGACACAAAUCCCUUGUACUGCUUCCCAUGCAUACUGUUUGGUGGGGAGGAAUGCUGGACUUCAAAAGGUAUGAGUGACCUAAAGAGAAUGGCAGAAAGAGUAAAAAAAACAUGAAAAUUCCCCAAGGCAUCUAAAGAAUUCAUGCUUCUGACUGCCUUGGGAAAAGCAAAUGUUAAGUCAAAAAUGAGCACUAGAUUUCAGUCAUCAGUUGAAAGAUAUAAUAAAAGAGUAGAACAAAACUGGCAUGUUUUGUCUCGGUUAAUUGACUGCAUUAAACUGUCUGCUGAUCAUGAAGUAACUCUCGGAGGGAGCAGUGAGUCCAUGGAAUCAGUAGAUGCUAGCCUCUUUUGUCAGAUGGUAGAUUACACUUGCAUGUUAGAUAAGAUAGUGGCAGACCAUAUGAAGAAUGCAACAGUUUUUAAAGGAUUAUCAAAAAACAUUCAGAAUGAUCUGUUAAGAGUGCAUGUUGGAAAUCAGCAGAAAAGAAAUAAAACAAGAGAUCAGCAAAACAAGUUUUGUAGCAGUGAUUGUAGAUGAAACAACAGAUGUAGCAGGGAAAUGGCAGAUUGCUGUUGUAUUCCGAUAUGUUGUAAAUAGCCAGGUGCAGGAACAGUUCUGGGGAUUUUUUACACCACAGGGGCAGUCUGCACAAGAUAUCACUGCUGUUGUGCUUCAACAACUAAAGAAAGUAAUCCCAAGCCAGACUGAGAAAUUAAUUGCUCAGUGUUAUGGUGGUGCUUCCUUAAUGAGUAGUGUGCAAAAUGAAGUGCAAUCAUAAGGCAGACAUUUAAAUGUGCUUGUGUUGUUUACUGCUAUGCACAUCAGCUGAACUUAGUGAUAGAAAGAGCAGCAUCACAGAAUCCUCAUGCAAGAAUUUUUUUUUUGAAUCUUACUCACAUUGCAGCAUUUUUUUCAUGAUUGUGACAAUACAAAACUAAUAUUGAUCAUGUGGUUGCAAGACAUAUUCAGGAAGUAUGUGGAACACUAGGCACUCGAUAUUAGAACCAUGAACAUGGUGUAUGAGAACAGAGAAUCAUUAAUGCAGUGUGUCCAUCACUUGGCAGUUUCAAGUACGAGUACAUAUACAACUGUAGGAGAAGCAUCUAGAUUAGAGAAGAUGCUUCAAGAUGAUGAAUUUGUUUUCUGGCUAACUCUUUUCCAUUCCAUAAUGCCUCAUGUUGAUAUUCUGUAUAGACUGCUUCAAUUUCAUAAUACAGAUUCAACAAAUGUCCAGAGUGAUGUCGGAACUGUUCUUGAUACUCUUAAAGUGCAAUCACAUAUUAGUAGUACUGCAGGAUGGCAUUCAAAAUCAGGGGCAGUACAUCAGAUGUUGUCUCUUGCUGCACUGGAUGUCUGUGAUCUGAUAAGCUGCCAGGUCUCUACACUAUUUCAACACUCUGGACAUCUUGAAGCAUCACUUUUACUGUCAUAUACAAAGUUUUCUGUUUAUUUAAAAGAAUUCCCAGAAGAGAUCCUUGAGAAAACUUUAAAGACUUACCCAUUUGUUGUUAAACAGAAGCUUAAAUCAGAAUUAGAAGUACUGUAUAGUCACAAGGACUUUGGAGGACCUGGAAGUGCUGUUCACUAUCAAAAUUCUUACUUGAAUAUUCCCUGACAGCUGAAUUUUCAGAGACCAUUGCUCUCCUGAUGAUUAUUCUUACAACUCCCAUGCCAACUAGUGAGCCUGGGAGGGUUUUUUCAACAUUAAAGAGAAUUAAAUCUGUUCUGUGUUCUACCAAAGACCAAGACAAAUUGGAUGUCUUAGCAAUGAUUUUGGUGGAAACACGGCUUAUACGGAAUAUACCCAGCUUCAAUCAGCAAGUUAUAAUAGAUCUGUUUGCACAAAAGAAGGCUGUCAGGUUGACUUUUUGUUUAAGUAAGGAGAGAGACCAUUAUAGAAUCCCAGUGGAAUCAAGGCAGAGAUUACAUCUGUUCCAGUUCAAGGAUGCUUUAUCUGCAGGAACAGGUCCAAAAAAUCAGAACUGAGGCAUAUUGUGCAUCUGCAUUGGCAGCAGUUAUAGUACAAGGGAGGAGAUCUGCAGCAAUGGCAGUGCUUUUCAUUGCCAGAGGAUGCAUUGUGCAGUAGUCUUUGGACUAAGUAAGAGGAGCAUACCACUUGCUUCAGAUGGGGAAAAAAGUGAGAAAUUGGGGUAUUUAGCCCAUCUCAAGGUUAACAUGUCCACAUAAAGAGGUCAUGGACUCUGCAUUAAGAUAGAUCUCAUAGCAAACUCUACAAAGUUGUAGCAUAUUGCAACUUCAGCAAUGGCCACCUAAGAGUAAAGAGCUUUGGAGUCACUCUUCUAAAACAGUGACUUUAACCAGUGGUUUGGACUCCACUGACUUUAAACAGUGUCAAAGUAUUUUUGGAUUCCAGAAAAAAAAGUUUAAUAUUGAGCUUUUGGACUGAUGGAUUUUGUACAUAAGAAGAAUCUUUUGAGUACUGAAUUUUGUCACAGCAGUUAAAAAAAGACAAAUAAGAAGACACAAAGAUGGCUUUGAUAGCAGUAGCAAGAAUGCCAUAGAGGAAGUUGCAGGUUCCAGUGUAAAAAUAAAUGGCAGAAGAAUUUGGAAGGAGAACAUGAAAAGUUGAUGAGGUGCUAAAACAAAUUUACAAAUCUGUGCUCUGUCACUAAGAGUUUACUCUCAGAGAUGGACGGCAGCGAUAAAUGCCUUAGUGAGCAGUACCUCUGCAGAGACUAGAAUCUGCAUUUUUUUUACAGGACUAAUGUACAUGAUUCACAAAUGAUAAGAUAAUCCAUCUAAAAUUUUGCACUGGAACAGAAUAGAUUAGGUCAAGGUGAAGAAUGAUGUUUUAUAGGUAGAAUUUGAAAGAUUAGAAUGAAUAGACACCAUAAAAUGGGUGAGUAUUUUGAAAAGUAUGAUGACUAUCUUGAAUUUUUUUUAAAUAUAACCCCUUAAAGUCACAGAGCAGAAAACACUCUGCAGAAUAAUUGUUUUCAGCAGAAGUGAAAUUUCAGUUCUCUCUUCUUCUUAAACUGAUGCUCCAUACACUAUUAGGAAUGCUGGUGUUUACUUUGUCCACAGAAGAUCUAGCAAUAUUGAGGAAUAAAUAUCCCAUAUUCAUGGACAUGAUGAAACAUCGGUUAAGUUUUUCUGAGAAUGUGAUAUUUUUGGAAUAAAG
Molecule: long non-coding RNA, 3624 nt
Organism: Protopterus annectens (West African lungfish)
Lineage: Eukaryota; Metazoa; Chordata; Ceratodontiformes; Protopteridae
Exons: 3
Source: RefSeq, a predicted model, not a curated record